Molecule: unclassified non-coding RNA, 241 nt
Filed under: Hevea brasiliensis (rubber tree)
Lineage: Eukaryota; Viridiplantae; Streptophyta; Magnoliopsida; Malpighiales; Euphorbiaceae
Source: RNAcentral
CCUUCUACAACAUGCAAUCUCCAAUAACACAACUCCAAAACUAUAAACGUCUGCUUUAGCUGUCAAAGGAAGAUUAUGAUGCCAUUCUGGUGCACAUAACCUCUAGUUCCUCUGAUUCCUGUAAAGGUUUUUGUUUGGUCUGGCUUCAGCAGCUUUGCCAAUCCGAAGUCAGAAAUUUUUGGACACCUGUACUCAUCCAGUAGUAUGUUUCCUGGUUUUAUAUCACAGUGGAUAAUCUGUG